GAGUUUGAUCAUGGCUCAGGAUGAACGCUAGCGGCAGGCCUAAUACAUGCAAGUCGAGGGGCAGCACGGUAGCAAUACUGGUGGCGACCGGCGCACGGGUGCGUAACACGUAUACAAUCUGCCUUUAACAGGGGGAUAGCCCGGAGAAAUCCGGAUUAAUACCCCAUAAUAGUGGAGUUGGCAUCAACUCUAUUUGAAAGCUCCGGCGGUUAAAGAUGAAUAUGCGACUGAUUAGCUAGUUGGUAGUGUAACGGACUACCAAGGCGACGAUCAGUAGGGGAUCUGAGAGGAGUACCCCCCACACGGAUACUGAGACACGGAUCCGACUCCUACGGGAGGCAGCAGUAAGGAAUAUUGGACAAUGCCCGCAAGGGUGAUCCAGCCAUGCCGCGUGCAGGAAGACGGCCCUAUGGGUUGUAAACUGCUUUUGUACCGGAGAAAACCUCCCCUCGUGAGGGGAGCUGAUAGUAAGGUAAGAAUAAGCAUCGGCUAACUUCGUGGCAGCAGCCGCUGUAAC
RNAcentral lists this ribosomal RNA (517 nucleotides) under uncultured Sphingobacterium sp. RNAcentral's name for it is "bacterial SSU rRNA". It matches the Rfam family "Bacterial small subunit ribosomal RNA", at positions 9 to 524 of the family's 1533-position model. Lineage: Bacteria; Pseudomonadati; Bacteroidota; Sphingobacteriia; Sphingobacteriales; Sphingobacteriaceae. The record is from RNAcentral.